Molecule: non-coding RNA, 410 nt
Filed under: Pongo abelii (Sumatran orangutan)
Lineage: Eukaryota; Metazoa; Chordata; Mammalia; Primates; Hominidae
Source: RNAcentral
AAAGUACCUGGACUUCUAUGCCCAUGCUUCUAGCAGCCAGCCUCCUAAAAUACCUCUAGUUGAAGCCAAAGUUAGAAUCCUUCUAUGAAACUACAGGAUUAAAAUGGGAUGGUUACAUGACCCAGGCUUGACCAAUCAGAUCAUCCAAACCCUUUGCCACAGUGAUUGGUCCAGGGAUACAUGCAUGAGCCAGCUCAGGCCUAAACCACACUCAUCUUGUGGAUGACACUGGAGCUGUGACAGUCUGUUCUGUCCAGGCUGGGUGUCUUUUAUUUUUACUGGAAAUAAGAUUAUCACAGUACCCAAGGCCCAAACAAUUGGUGAUAAUGAAGAAACUCUACUACCAGAUGUUGCAAGAUGCCUCAAUGACCUAAUCCAGCAAAUCACAGCUCCAGCUUCCAUGAGCACUG